This 347-nucleotide ribosomal RNA is filed under the name uncultured bacterium. Its description in RNAcentral is "bacterial SSU rRNA". It matches the Rfam family "Bacterial small subunit ribosomal RNA", at positions 1014 to 1363 of the family's 1533-position model. The record is from RNAcentral.
UUCACUUCGGUGACCUGGACACAGGUGCUGCAUGGCUGUCGUCAGCUCGUGUCGUGAGAUGUUGGGUUAAGUCCCGCAACGAGCGCAACCCUCGCCUUUAGUUGCCAUCAUUUAGUUGGGCACUCUAGAGGGACUGCCGGUGAUAAGCCGGAGGAAGGUGGGGAUGAUGUCAAGUCAUCAUGGCCCUUAUGGGCUGGGCUACACACGUGCUACAAUGGUGGUGACAGAGGGCAGCUAGACAGCGAUGUCAUGCUAAUCCCAAAAAGCCAUCUCAGUUCGGAUUGCACUCUGCAACUCGAGUGCAUGAAGUCGGAAUCGCUAGUAAUCGCAGAUCAGCAUGCUGCGGU